RNAcentral lists this ribosomal RNA (572 nucleotides) under Russula sp. RNAcentral describes it as "partial small subunit ribosomal RNA". It matches the Rfam family "Bacterial small subunit ribosomal RNA", at positions 348 to 969 of the family's 1533-position model. The record is from RNAcentral. Lineage: Eukaryota; Fungi; Basidiomycota; Agaricomycetes; Russulales; Russulaceae.
UCAGCAGUCCAAAAUAUUAGUCAAUGCUCGAAAGAGUGAACUAGCUAACUGAAAUCAAUUAAAAUAAUUGAUAACAUAAGGGAAAAUAAUGAUAUUACCWUAUUAUUAGUGUCGUCCAAAACUMGGUGCCAGAAGACUCGGUAAGGCCAGAGACACAAACGUUAAUCGUCUUAAUCAGGCGUAAAGGGUUUGUAGGCGGCUUUAAAAUUUAGUUAAAAAAAAAUUUAAGUAAAGAAUAAAAGCUAGAAUCAAAUAGAGGAUAUAUGAAAGAAUGCUUAGAGUAGGUCUGAUAUCUUUAGAUACUAAGUAGAAUAUUAAAGGCGAAAGCUUUUUUCCAUUAAUGAUUGACGCUCAGAAACGAAGGUGAGGAUAGGAAAUAGGAUUAGAUACCCAGAAUACCCCUCUCUGUCAACGAUGAAUGGUAGUUAUUAGUAAAAAUUAUUAAUGGCAAUGUUAACACGAUAACCAUUCCGCCUUGUGAGUACAACUGCAAAGUUGAAAACAAAAAAAUUAGUCGGUUUCGGAGCAAACGAAGUGAAGCAUGUUAUUUAAUUCAAUAAAUCCGCAAAAAA